Molecule: long non-coding RNA, 1195 nt
Filed under: Diabrotica virgifera virgifera (western corn rootworm)
Lineage: Eukaryota; Metazoa; Arthropoda; Insecta; Coleoptera; Chrysomelidae
Description: uncharacterized LOC126889906
Source: RNAcentral
GCGAGGUUGACAGGUUGGUGUUGGUAGUUAGUACCGUAAAUGGCGGUUAAUUUCUUCAAAAUUAAUUUUUAUUUCAACUAAGUUAAAGUAUAGUCGUAUAGUGAAAAGUUACCACCACUUGUUUCCUGGAGUACGGGUUUCCUGGAGUAAGGAUGGGAGUACCAUCAGUGGAAGAGGAAUAAAAAAUUAACCGCCAUUUGGAAGAAAGCUAACCCUCAUGUGAAGUCGUACCCACCUUGACCACCAAGGGAAGCCACCUUGACCUUAUUGCAGCCACCACCAAGUCAACCUGGGAGUAUGUCAUUGGGAGCAAGCUUUGGGGAGCAUUCCAGCUCAAUUUUCGUCUUCGCACCUGGGUUUAGAGGAGGCAUGAUUUUGCAUCAUCCUGAUGCUCAUUUCUGAGGAUGCAUCAGCAACCUCUUUAGGAGUCGUUUGGGAACAAUUAGUGUGGUGAUAAGAGUAACUUGGUUUUUUUAUAUUUCAGACAUUUAUGUGAUACAUUAUGUUUAUUAAUUACUUUUUCAGAUUUAGCGUACCUUUUUUAUAUGACAUACUUGUAUACAUAUGACAUAUUUGAAUAUUAAUAUUUGGUUCCCAAACUAUUGUAGCUCUGGUAAGUUACUUGUGUACACAAGGGUAUAAGCCUAGAAAAUUAGGUUUUUAUAUUUUAUUAUUGGUUUGAUAUUUAUUUUUUGUAAUAUUACUUGCUUGUUUCCCAAAUAUUUUCUUAUUUAUUCGCUUUAUUUCAUUUGUUCGGUUAAUUCGUCAUUACUUUAUUUUAUUGCAUUUGCUCGGGUAAUUUUGGUCAUCGUUUCGGUAUUUAUCUCAACUUCAUUUCUAUAACUUUCAUUCAUUGUAUAUUUAACUUUGCUUAAUUCAUUUAGUCUUUUCCCUUAGUUAGGCUCAUGCCUAUUUAUAUAUAUUUAUUUGCAUUAUUUUCAUCUUCGUCGGUUUCAAUUCAGUUGUACGUAGCAAGCGUACUAUAACCAUUUGGUAGAAGACUCAUGUUAGUUGUACCCUAUAUGUAAGUGAGAGGUAAUUAUGUAAUUUGUAACAGAUUAGUUAUUGUAGUUAGCACAAAUAUAACUUUUGUAUAACUUUUGUCAUGUUAGAGUCACAGGAUAUGCACUUUGUGUAACUCAGAGAUUGUCAAAAAUCUGGUAGUUAUUUUUAAUAAAUAUUUAUUUAUUUUGUA